AGUAUAACUUUAAAGUGGAGC
This 21-nucleotide unclassified non-coding RNA is filed under the name Chlamydomonas reinhardtii. Its description in RNAcentral is "small RNA Cre_0619". Lineage: Eukaryota; Viridiplantae; Chlorophyta; Chlorophyceae; Chlamydomonadales; Chlamydomonadaceae. The record is from RNAcentral.